RNAcentral lists this ribosomal RNA (519 nucleotides) under Gonioctena quinquepunctata. RNAcentral's name for it is "partial 12S ribosomal RNA". Lineage: Eukaryota; Metazoa; Arthropoda; Insecta; Coleoptera; Chrysomelidae. The record is from RNAcentral.
CGCGGUUAUACAAAUAAUGUAAUUCAAUUUGAUUAGCAUUAAUUAAUUUAUAAUAGAAUAAUUGUAAUAAAAAUUUUAUUAGGUGAAAUUUGAAAUUUUUAUUUAGGUUAUUAAUUUUUAAUGAAGUUAAAAAAUUUAUUUUAUAAACUAGGAUUAGAUACCCUAUUAUUUUAAAUGUAAUUUUAAAAGCUAAAUUAGUAUUAGUUAUGUUCUUGAAAAUUAAAGAUUUUGGCGGUAUUUUAGUCUAUUCAGAGGAACCUGUUCUGUAAUCGAUAAUCCACGAUUUAAUUUACUUUUUUUUAUUAAUUUACAUAUCGUCGUAAUUUGAAUAUUUUAUAAGAAUUUUAAUAUUCAAGAAUUUUUAUAAAAAAAUAAAUCAGAUCAAGGUGUAGUUUAUGGGAAAGAAGAAAUGGGUUACAAUAAAUAUAAUUUAAGAUUAUUAUUUUUAAAAUAAUAUGAAUUUGGAUUUGAGAGUAAUUUUAAUUAAUUUAUUAAUUUGAUUUUAGCUCUAAAAUAUGC